This 464-nucleotide ribosomal RNA is filed under the name uncultured bacterium. RNAcentral describes it as "partial 16S ribosomal RNA". It matches the Rfam family "Bacterial small subunit ribosomal RNA", at positions 29 to 507 of the family's 1533-position model. The record is from RNAcentral.
ACGAACGCUGGCGGCGUGCUUAACACAUGCAAGUCGAACGGAAAGGCCCCUUUGGGGGUACUCGAGUGGCGAACGGGUGAGUAACACGUGAGUAACCUGCCCUUGACUUCGGGAUAACUUCAGGAAACUGGGGCUAAUACCGGAUAGGAAUCCUUGCUGCAUGGUGGGGGUUGGAAAGCUUCGGCGGUUUUGGAUGGACUCGCGGCUUAUCAGCUUGUUGGUGGGGUAGUGGCUUACCAAGGCUUUGACGGGGAGCCGGCCUGAGAGGGCGACCGGCCACAUUGGGACUGAGAUACGGCCCAGACUCCUACGGGAGGCAGCAGUGGGGAAUAUUGCACAAUGGGCGGAAGCCUGAUGCAGCAACGCCGCGUGCGGGAUGACGGCCUUCGGGUUGUAAACCGCUUUCAGCAGGGGCGAAGCUUGUGGUGACGGUACCUGCAGAAGAAGCACCGGCUAACUACGUG